CAAAGUAUAGCUAAAAAAGUUUAGUAUUUCAUUUACAUUGAAGUGAAUUACCGUGCAAGUCGGUUUGCUUUGA
This 73-nucleotide transfer RNA is filed under the name Perbrinckia rosae. RNAcentral's name for it is "tRNA-Val". The record is from RNAcentral. Lineage: Eukaryota; Metazoa; Arthropoda; Malacostraca; Decapoda; Parathelphusidae.